AAGAAGAAGCGGAAAAACAGUAGGUGGCGUAACAUUUUAACGUUGUGUGCGCCGACCUCGAACGAAAACGAGGAAGAAGAAGAAAGAGAAGAAGAAGCGGGAACGUUUUUGGAAACGACAACCGCAACGCUUGUGACAGAAGACUUGGAGAGGAUGGACAAAAAGAAAAUGACAACAUAAGAGGUUAAGAGUUCCCACAAAGAAAAUGAAGGACCUGCAUAAUUCUCCUCCCCCAAAUGAGUAAUCUGGGUGUUUGGCCUUCGUCAGAUGGGAGGACGGUUAUACCGGCAAAAUCUUUACUGGAGCAGACAUUUUGUCAAGAGAUGAAGCUCCUGUGCAGAUCUUAGAUCUUAGAACAGGAGAUUCUGUUUUAGCAAAGUGGUCAGAUGGUA
This is a long non-coding RNA of Nerophis lumbriciformis (worm pipefish), 392 nucleotides long. RefSeq lists it as uncharacterized. The record is from RefSeq and is a predicted model, not a curated record. NCBI's taxonomy places the organism in Eukaryota, Metazoa, Chordata, Actinopteri, Syngnathiformes, Syngnathidae.